This 423-nucleotide ribosomal RNA is filed under the name uncultured bacterium. Its description in RNAcentral is "bacterial SSU rRNA". It matches the Rfam family "Bacterial small subunit ribosomal RNA", at positions 28 to 439 of the family's 1533-position model. The record is from RNAcentral.
GAUGAACGCUAGCGGCAAGCUUAAUACAUGCAAGUCGAGGGGCAGCAUGACUGUAGCAAUACAGUUGAUGGCGACCGGCAAGCGGGUGCGGAACACGUACAGAACCUUCCUUCGAGCGGGGAAUAGCCCAGAGAAAUUUGGAUUAAUACCCCAUAGGUAUAUUGGAGUGGCAUCACUUUGAUAUUAAAGAUUUAUCACUUGAAGAUGGCUGUGCGGCUGAUUAGAUAGUUGGCGGGGUAACGGCCCACCAAGUCUGCGAUCAGUAACUGGUGUGAGAGCACGACCAGUCACACGGGCACUGAGACACGGGCCCCGAUCCCUACGGGGAGGCAGCAGUAGGGAAUAUUGGUCAAUGGACGAAAGUCUGAACCAGCUAUGCCGCGUGGAGGAUGAAGGCCCUCUGGGUUGUAAACGUUCUUUAUA